Molecule: ribosomal RNA, 253 nt
Filed under: Xanthomonas citri pv. citri
Lineage: Bacteria; Pseudomonadati; Pseudomonadota; Gammaproteobacteria; Lysobacterales; Lysobacteraceae
Description: partial 23S ribosomal RNA
Rfam family: Bacterial large subunit ribosomal RNA
Source: RNAcentral
UGAUAUGAACCGUUAUAACCGGCGAUUUCCGAAUGGGGAAACCCAGUGUGUUUCGACACACUAUCAUUAACUGAAUCCAUAGGUUAAUGAGGCGAACCGGGGGAACUGAAACAUCUAAGUACCCCGAGGAAAAGAAAUCAACCGAGAUUCCCCCAGUAGCGGCGAGCGAACGGGGAGCAGCCCAGAGCCUGAAUCAGUGUGUGUGUUAGUGGAAGCGUCUGGAAAGGCGUGCGAUACAGGGUGACAGCCCCGU